This 264-nucleotide ribosomal RNA is filed under the name uncultured bacterium. RNAcentral's name for it is "partial 16S ribosomal RNA". It matches the Rfam family "Bacterial small subunit ribosomal RNA", at positions 793 to 1055 of the family's 1533-position model. The record is from RNAcentral.
GUCCACGCUGUAAACGAUGGGCACUAGGUGUCCGGGGUAUUGACCCCCUGGGUGCCGCAGCUAACGCAUUAAGUGCCCCGCCUGGGGAGUACGGUCGCAAGAUUAAAACUCAAAGGAAUUGACGGGGCCCGCACAAGCGGUGGAGCAUGUGGUUCAAUUCGACGCAACGCGAAGAACCUUACCUGGGCUAGACAACAGCGGACCGUCCUAGAAAUAGGAUCUUCCCUUCGGGGACCGCUGGUUCAGGUGCUGCAUGGCUGUCGU